ACGAAGGGUGCUAGCGUUGUUCGGAAUCACUGGGCGUAAAGGGUACGUAGGCGGCUUAGUAAGUUGGUUGUGAAAGCCCCGAGCUCAACUCGGGAACUGCGACCAAAACUGCUUCGCUAGAGUUUAGAGGGGGAUGGCGGAAUUCCUAGUGUAGGGGUGAAAUCCGUAGAUAUUAGGAGGAAUAUCGGUGGCGAAGGCGGCCAUCUACUCUAACACUGACGCUAAGGUACGAAAGCGUGGGGAGCAAACAGG
This 252-nucleotide ribosomal RNA is filed under the name uncultured bacterium. RNAcentral's name for it is "partial 16S ribosomal RNA". It matches the Rfam family "Bacterial small subunit ribosomal RNA", at positions 525 to 776 of the family's 1533-position model. The record is from RNAcentral.